RNAcentral lists this ribosomal RNA (1441 nucleotides) under metagenome. Its description in RNAcentral is "bacterial LSU rRNA". It matches the Rfam family "Bacterial large subunit ribosomal RNA", at positions 1459 to 2925 of the family's 2925-position model. The record is from RNAcentral.
CAGAACUGUGGGGACGCAGAAGGAGAGCACGAGCCGGAAAUGGAAAAGCCGGUACAAGCGUAUAGCAGUCAUGCAGGCAAAACCGCAUGAAAAAUGUAAAGCGUUAUGUGGAUCGAACAUUAGUAGAGAAGCGUGUGAGCCAGCUGCCAAGAAAAGCCGCUAUUGCUUCAUAAGUACCCGUACCGUAAACCGACACAGGUGGAUGAGGAGAGAAUCCUAAGGCCGGCGGGAGAAGUGUUGUUAAGGAACUCGGCAAAAUGACUCCGUAACUUCGGGAGAAGGAGUGCCACAGAGAUGUGGCCGCAGAGAAAUGGCCCAAGCAACUGUUUAGCAAAAACACAGGUCUAUGCAAAACCGAAAGGUGAGGUAUAUGGGCUGACGCCUGCCCGGUGCUGGAAGGUUAAGAGGAGAGGUUAGAGCAAUCGAAGCUUUGAAUUUAAGCCCCAGUAAACGGCGGCCGUAACAAUAACGGUCCUAAGGUAGCGAAAUUCCUUGUCGGGUAAGUUCCGACCCGCACGAAAGGCGUAAUGAUUUGGGCACUGUCUCAACAACACACCCGGUGAAAUUGAAAUACCAGUGAAGAUGCUGGUUACCUGCGCCAGGACGGAAAGACCCCAUGGAGCUUUACUCCAGUCUGAUACUGGGAUUCGGUACUGUCUGUACAGGAUAGGUGGGAGGCUAGGAAAUGGUGACGCCAGUUGCCAUGGAGCCAACCUUGGGAUACCACCCUUACAGUACUGGGUUUCUAACCUGCAGCCGUGACCCGGCUGGGGGACAAUGUCUGACGGGGAGUUUGACUGGGGCGGUCGCCUCCGAAAGAGUAUCGGAGGCGCUCAAAGGUUCCCUCAGAACGGUUGGAAACCGUUCGAAGAGUGCAAAGGCAGAAGGGAGCUUGACUGCGACACCGACGGGUGGAGCAGAUACGAAAGUAGGACUUAGUGAUCCGGUGGUAUAAAGUGGGAUUGCCAUCGCUCAACGGAUAAAAGCUACCCUGGGAUAACAGGCUUAUCACUCCCAAGAGUUCACAUCGACGGAGUGGUUUGGCACCUCGAUGUCGGCUCAUCGCAUCCUGGAGCUGUAGCAGGUUCCAAGGGUUGGGCUGUUCGCCCAUUAAAGCGGUACGCGAGCUGGGUUCAGAACGUCGUGAGACAGUUCGGUCCCUAUCCGGCGUGGGCGUAGGAUAUUUGAGAGGAGCUGUCCUUAGUACGAGAGGACCGGGAUGGACAAACCUCUGGUGUAUCUGUUGUUUUACCAAAGGCAUGGCAGAGUAGCCAAGUUUGGCAGGGAUAAACGCUGAAGGCAUCUAAGCGUGAAGCCCCCCUCAAGAUAAGAUAUCCCAUCUUCGGAGUAAGACCCCUUGAAGACUACAAGGUUGAUAGGCUUCAGGUGUAAGUGUGGUAACGCACUCAGCUGAGAAGUACUAAUAGGUCGAGGACUUAUC